UACGUAGGGUGCAAGCGUUAAUCGGAAUUACUGGGCGUAAAGCGUGCGCAGGCGGUUUGCUAAGACCGAUGUGAAAUCCCCGGGCUUAACCUGGGAACUGCAUUGGUGACUGGCAAGCUAGAGUGUGGCAGAGGGGGGUAGAAUUCCACGUGUAGCAGUGAAAUGCGUAGAGAUGUGGAGGAAUACCGAUGGCGAAGGCAAUCCCCUGGGCCUGCACUGACGCUCAUGCACGAAAGCGUGGGGAGCAAACAGG
RNAcentral lists this ribosomal RNA (253 nucleotides) under uncultured bacterium. Its description in RNAcentral is "partial 16S ribosomal RNA". It matches the Rfam family "Bacterial small subunit ribosomal RNA", at positions 524 to 776 of the family's 1533-position model. The record is from RNAcentral.